ACCCGUGUGGGUCAAUCGGACCGUGCACUGGACUUACAAUCCAGAGGUCGCCGGUUCGAAUCCCGCGGCGGGCG
Culex pipiens (northern house mosquito) is the source of this 74-nucleotide transfer RNA. It matches the Rfam family "tRNA". Rfam says of the family: Transfer RNA (tRNA) molecules are approximately 80 nucleotides in length. Their secondary structure includes four short double-helical elements and three loops (D, anti-codon, and T loops). Further hydrogen bonds mediate the characteristic L-shaped molecular structure. tRNAs have two regions of fundamental functional importance: the anti-codon, which is responsible for specific mRNA codon recognition, and the 3' end, to which the tRNAs corresponding amino acid is attached (by aminoacyl-tRNA synthetases). tRNAs cope with the degeneracy of the genetic code in two manners: having more than one tRNA (with a specific anti-codon) for a particular amino acid; and 'wobble' base-pairing, i.e. permitting non-standard base-pairing at the 3rd anti-codon position. NCBI's taxonomy places the organism in Eukaryota, Metazoa, Arthropoda, Insecta, Diptera, Culicidae. The record is from Rfam.